AGAGUUUGAUCAUGGCUCAGAAUCAACGCUGGCGGCGUGCCUAACACAUGCAAGUCGAGCGAGAGGAAGUAGCAAUACUUUAGUAAAGCGGCGCACGGGUGAGUAACACGUGGAUAACCUGCCUCGAAGUGGGGAAUAACCCCGGGAAACCGGAGCUAAUACCGCAUAAUCUGACGAGAUCUGUGGAUUUUGUCAGCAAAGGAGCAAUUCGCUUUGAGAGGGGUCCGCGGCUGAUUAGCUAGUUGGUGAGGUAAUGGCUCACCAAGGCCACGAUCAGUAGCCGGUCUGAGAGGACGGUCGGCCACACUGGAACUGAGACACGGUCCAGACUCCUACGGGAGGCAGCAGUGGGGAAUUUUUCGCAAUGGGGGCAACCCUGACGAAGCAACGCCGCGUGGGUGAUGAAGUAUUUCGGUACGUAAAACCCUUUCGACGGGGACGAAAGCCGCAAGGUUUGACGGUACCCGUAGAAGAAGCCCCGGCUAACUCCGUGCCAGCAGCCGCGGUAAUACGGGGGGGGCAAGCGUUGUUCGGAAUUACUGGGCGUAAAGGGCGCGUAGGCGGUUUGCUAAGUUGGAUGUGAAAACUCUGGGCUUAACCCAGAGCCUGCAUCCAAAACUGGCAAACUUGAGUACUGGAGGGGAAAGCGGAAUUCCUGGUGUAGCGGUGAAAUGCGUAGAUAUCAGGAGGAACACCGGUGGCGAAGGCGGCUUUCUGGACAGUAACUGACGCUGAGGCGCGAAAGCUAGGGGAGCAAACAGGAUUAGAUACCCUAGUAGUCC
This 782-nucleotide ribosomal RNA is filed under the name uncultured bacterium. RNAcentral describes it as "bacterial SSU rRNA". It matches the Rfam family "Bacterial small subunit ribosomal RNA", at positions 8 to 796 of the family's 1533-position model. The record is from RNAcentral.